This 800-nucleotide ribosomal RNA is filed under the name Pedobacter sp. 2P1H2. Its description in RNAcentral is "bacterial SSU rRNA". It matches the Rfam family "Bacterial small subunit ribosomal RNA", at positions 56 to 855 of the family's 1533-position model. Lineage: Bacteria; Pseudomonadati; Bacteroidota; Sphingobacteriia; Sphingobacteriales; Sphingobacteriaceae. The record is from RNAcentral.
UGCAAGUCGAACGAUAUUAAGGGGCUUGCUCCUUAAGAAAGUGGCGCACGGGUGCGUAACGCGUAUGCAACCUACCUUAAUCUGGGGGAUAGCCCGGAGAAAUCCGGAUUAAUACCGCAUAAAAUCACAGGAUGGCAUUAUCCAAUGAUCAAACAUUUAUGGGAUUGAGAUGGGCAUGCGUGUCAUUAGCUAGUUGGCGGGGUAACGGCCCACCAAGGCGACGAUGACUAGGGGAUCUGAGAGGAUGGCCCCCCACACUGGUACUGAGACACGGACCAGACUCCUACGGGAGGCAGCAGUAAGGAAUAUUGGUCAAUGGAGGCAACUCUGAACCAGCCAUGCCGCGUGCAGGAAGACUGCCCUAUGGGUUGUAAACUGCUUUUAUCCGGGAAUAAACCUGCUUACGUGUAAGUAGCUGAAUGUACCGGAAGAAUAAGGAUCGGCUAACUCCGUGCCAGCAGCCGCGGUAAUACGGAGGAUCCAAGCGUUAUCCGGAUUUAUUGGGUUUAAAGGGUGCGUAGGCGGCCUGUUAAGUCAGGGGUGAAAGACGGUAGCUCAACUAUCGCAGUGCCCUUGAUACUGAUGGGCUUGAAUGGACUAGAGGUAGGCGGAAUGAGACAAGUAGCGGUGAAAUGCAUAGAUAUGUCUCAGAACACCGAUUGCGAAGGCAGCUUACUAUGGUCUUAUUGACGCUGAGGCACGAAAGCGUGGGGAUCAAACAGGAUUAGAUACCCCUGGUAGUCCACGCCCUAAACGAUGAACACUCGCUGUUGGCGAUACACAGUCAGCGGCUAAGCGAA